Molecule: signal recognition particle RNA, 278 nt
Filed under: Erinaceus europaeus (western European hedgehog)
Lineage: Eukaryota; Metazoa; Chordata; Mammalia; Eulipotyphla; Erinaceidae
Description: Metazoan signal recognition particle RNA
Rfam family: Metazoan signal recognition particle RNA
About the family: The signal recognition particle (SRP) is a universally conserved ribonucleoprotein. It is involved in the co-translational targeting of proteins to membranes. The eukaryotic SRP consists of a 300-nucleotide 7S RNA and six proteins: SRPs 72, 68, 54, 19, 14, and 9.
Source: Rfam by way of RNAcentral
GGGUGUGCUGGUGCACUCUUGUAGUCCCAGCUACUCUGGGAUUUGGAGAUUGCUUGAGCCCAGGAGUUCCAGGCUGUAGUGCACUAUGCCAAUAGAUCGGGUGUCUCCACUAAGUUCAGCAUCAAUAUUGUGACCUCUCGAGAGCCAGGGACCACCAGGUUGCCUAAGGAGGAGUGAACCAGCCUGGAAACAGGAACAGGUCAAAACUCCUGUGCUGAUCAGUAGGAAUAUUGGUCAUCAUUAAAAGGCUGAUACAGUAAACUUAAUGUAAAUCAAUU